AGCCAUGCACCAAACACAAAGUGAACUAUUCUUUUGCCUUUUACUAAAGAAUACCGUGUGUUUGUUGCUUGAAGUGGCAUAUGCCUAUUUUUGAAAGGAGCUCUUUUUUAGAAGGUU
This is a non-coding RNA of Lupinus angustifolius (narrow-leaved blue lupine), 117 nucleotides long. NCBI's taxonomy places the organism in Eukaryota, Viridiplantae, Streptophyta, Magnoliopsida, Fabales, Fabaceae. The record is from Rfam.